Molecule: ribosomal RNA, 492 nt
Filed under: uncultured bacterium
Lineage: Bacteria
Description: partial 16S ribosomal RNA
Rfam family: Bacterial small subunit ribosomal RNA
Source: RNAcentral
AGUGAACGCUGGCGGUAGGCCUAACACAUGCAAGUCGAACGGCAGCACAGUAAGAGCUUGCUCUUACGGGUGGCGAGUGGCGGACGGGUGAGGAAUACAUCGGAAUCUACUUUUUCGUGGGGGAUAACGUAGGGAAACUUACGCUAAUACCGCAUACGACCUACGGGUGAAAGCAGGGGAUCUUCGGACCUUGCGCGAUUGAAUGAGCCGAUGUCGGAUUAGCUAGUUGGCGGGGUAAAGGCCCACCAAGGCGACGAUCCGUAGCUGGUCUGAGUGGAUGAUCAGCCACACUGGAACUGGGACACGGUCCAGACUCCUACGGGAGGCAGCAGUGGGGAAUAUUAGACAAUAGGCGCAAGCCUGAUCCAGCCAUACCGCGUGGGUGAAGAAGGCCUUCGGGUUGUAAAGCCCUUUUGUUGGGAAAGAAAAGCAGCAGGUUAAUACCCCGCUGUUCUGACGGUACCCAAAGAAUAAGCACCGGCUAACUUCGUG